Oreochromis aureus is the source of this 1359-nucleotide long non-coding RNA. RefSeq lists it as uncharacterized. The transcript has 2 exons. Lineage: Eukaryota; Metazoa; Chordata; Actinopteri; Cichliformes; Cichlidae. The record is from RefSeq and is a predicted model, not a curated record.
AAUACAACGUGAGCGUUGCGUUAGCAAAGUUUUGUGUGAAGCGAGCAGAGUGUGGUCGACGUUUUCUGUGCUCUCAUUAUAGUGAUUGUCUUUUUGAGACUUUAAUUUUAAAUAUAUUCUGCUUUGCGCUUAUAAGAAGGUGUUUUGGAGAAGAAAAGCGAUCCUUCGAUAUCAUUAUUUUUACUUUUUAAAGAACUUUAUGCGGAGCGAGAAGAAGGGAAAGCUGCCCAGUUUCUCAAGAAGAGAUUUUUUUUCUCAAGUUAUUUUUCGUCGGACAUGUGUGUAAAAAUGAUGACAAUUAAAGCGAAGAGAAUGAAAACGAGUUAUCUGCGGAAAAACAUGAAGUUUGGCUCCAAGUUGACGUUGAGGCUUUUCCCAGUGUCCGCGGAGGAGGACGAGGCCCUCAAACAGAGUCGAGCCACCACGGUGAGGACCACCAUUCGAAAAUACCUCCCCCGGGAACGGAGACGGGCUCAGCAGGACGGCCUCUGCGGCCUGCAGGGCCACACGGGCAGAAAGAAUGGGGAUUUCAUGUAUGAGGAAAGUACCGCCACGGCCUGUGUGCACCGUCAUCCAGCUGGUGUAAUGGCGCCGGAAAACACCACGCAGUACCUGAUGGGAAACCUGUAUGAAGACAUGAAUAUUGACAUUAACAAGUCAGUUCAGGAUUCACAGGAAGUAGCUGCUCAACAGUUUAGCGAAUGUCCUUCACCGACGAGCUCAUGUACUGCCCUGGACUCUGAGAGCUACCUUGCGUUUCAAGAGCGGAACUUUGAUGAGGCCUGUGAAAUGUUUUGGUAACCAGGACGAACUUCGUGAGCGUGGCCCGGCUCCCUCAGCAGCCCGACUUUAAUUCAGCUCAUUGUUAAAAGCGGCGCGCCUUUGCACGCUGCCCGCCCGCCCACUGGGGAGCGCUACCGAGCCCUGCGUGCCGCCGCCUGGAGGGAAUCGACCAAACGGCUGGGCCCGGCUCUGCUGCGCUAUGCUCGGCUCUGGUCUCUUCACGGAUUGUAAAAUCCAGGUAAACCCGGGCAGGUAUUGUUAGCAGUGCAUUGUCAUUGAUGGCAAUAGUCGAUGGUGAUUGGAUGUUCCACAGUCACUGUUGUCUGAGCGUUUUCCAGGUCGCCCCUGCUAGGACACGUGGCUCAGCUGUGGGAGGAGCAUGAAGCAAAGGAGGUCGGUCUUCACGUGACUGACACAAGGUGACACUUCAAACUGAAAGGGCCAUAAUGGCGAGAUAAUCAUGUGUAUGUCAUUUUAAUGAUAUAAUUUAAUAUUGUAUUGAAACUUUGAUUGCAAAGUGAUGGUGAAUGUGGAGUUUAAUCUUCAAUAAAAUUAUCUGUUACACUGGAAAUGUAA